Non-coding RNA from Picea glauca (white spruce), 119 nucleotides. Lineage: Eukaryota; Viridiplantae; Streptophyta; Pinopsida; Pinales; Pinaceae. The record is from Rfam.
GGGUGCGAUCAUACCAACGUUAAUGCACCUGAUCCCAUCGGAACUCCAUAGUUAACCACACUUGGGCUAGAGUAGUACUAGGAUGGGUGACCUCCAAAGAAGUCUUAGUUUUGCACCCU